AUAGAUACCCCGGUAGUCCACGCCGUAAACGAUGAGUGCUAAGUGUUAGAGGGUUUCCGCCCUUUAGUGCUGCAGCAAACGCAUUAAGCACUCCGCCUGGGGAGUACGGUCGCAAGACUGAAACUCAAAGGAAUUGACGGGGGCCCGCACAAGCGGUGGAGCAUGUGGUUUAAUUCGAAGCAACGCGAAGAACCUUACCAGGUCUUGACAUCCUCUGACAACCCUAGAGAUAGGGCUUCCCCUUCGGGGGCAGAGUGACAGGUGGUGCAUGGUUGUCGUCAGCUCGUGUCGUGAGAUGUUGGGUUAAGUCCCGCAACGAGCGCAACCCUUGAUCUUAGUUGCCAGCAUUCAGUUGGGCACUCUAAGGUGACUGCCGGUGACAAACCGGAGGAAGGUGGGGAUGACGUCAAAUCAUCAUGCCCCUUAUGACCUGGGCUACACACGUGCUACAAUGGGCAGAACAAAGGGCAGCGAAGCCGCGAGGCUAAGCCAAUCCCACAAAUCUGUUCUCAGUUCGGAUCGC
Molecule: ribosomal RNA, 523 nt
Filed under: uncultured bacterium
Lineage: Bacteria
Description: bacterial SSU rRNA
Rfam family: Bacterial small subunit ribosomal RNA
Source: RNAcentral